UAUUAUGCAUUUCUUUUAUUUUUUACAUGGUUAGUACUCAUAAAUCUUAAUAAAAUAUAAAUAGAGCUUAGAUUUAGAUUAUCCGUUCGUGUCAUGUCAUGAUAUUCUAAACUUUAAAGCAAUUUACUUCAGAAAAAAGAUCUAAUAAGUUGAUGCAUUUGUGAAAAUAUGUCAUAUGUUGAUAUAUUUUGUUUGUUUUACAUGGCUAUAUAAUAUUUUUAAUCAGUUUCUAAAAUUUUUAUGAAUCUCACAAUUUGAUUCUCGAUUCACAGAAGGUGGAUUCUGAUUCUCGGUUCGAAUCUCGAAUUGACAACUAUGGUUAUAAAUUAUUACUUCCCUUUCAAUAGCCAUCUUGUUUUGUCUAACAAACAUUGUCUACUUCAAUAGGCAUGGCAGCUUCAUGAAGAGG
RNAcentral lists this unclassified non-coding RNA (409 nucleotides) under Hevea brasiliensis (rubber tree). The record is from RNAcentral. Lineage: Eukaryota; Viridiplantae; Streptophyta; Magnoliopsida; Malpighiales; Euphorbiaceae.